GACGAACGCUGGCGGCGUGCUUAACACAUGCAAGUCGAACGGGCCUUGUCCCCUUUUUUUUUGGGGGUGGGGUUAGUGGCGAACGGGUGAGUAACACGUGAGUAACCUGCCCCUCCCUUCUGGUUAACCGCUUGAAAGGGUGGCUAAUACGGGGUGUUCUGGCCUGCUCGCAUGGGUGGGUUUGGAAAGAUUCGACCGGUUUUGGUGGUUUUGGUGGGGGAUGGGCUCGCGGCCUAUCAGCUUGUUGGUGGGGUGAUGGCCUGCCAAGGCUUUGACGGGUAGCCGGCCUGAGAGGGUGGGCGGUCACACUGGGACUGAGACACGGCCCAGACUCCUACGGGAGGCAGCAGUGGGGAAUAUUGCACAAUGGGCGCAAGCCUGAUGCAGCGACGCCGCGUGAGGGAUGGAGGCCUUCGGGUUGUGAACCUCUUUCGCCAGUGAAGAAGGUCCUGCUCUUUGUGGUGGGGUUGACGGUAGCUGGGUUAAUGAAGCGCCGGCUAACUACGUG
Molecule: ribosomal RNA, 508 nt
Filed under: uncultured bacterium
Lineage: Bacteria
Description: partial 16S ribosomal RNA
Rfam family: Bacterial small subunit ribosomal RNA
Source: RNAcentral